UGUGAUUAAUUGUAUGCUAAAUUGUUUUAGCAGUUUAUAAGAGCAGCACUCGAAGCCUAAUUCUUUUGAAAUUUUACGUUUUUCUUUGAAAAUUAUUUUCACUAGAGUAAAGCUUUAAAGUAAAAACGCAUUAUUUUAGCAGGUUUUUAAAUGCAAAUGAAUUUGAAAAUCUUGAAUCCAAUAUUUUUUUAAACUUGGUCAAACAAAGAAACAUAUAAACCAUGCAUUAGUUUUAAUUUUUCAUAGUGUUAAGUAUAAGUUAUAAAGGAUUUUGGAGCUUAAAACAUCAGACCUUGUUUCUGAAUAAUUUUGGGCAUAAAAAUCAUUCGCACAAUUAUUGCAAGAUUUUAAUUUUUCAUUGUGUAUCAUACUUAUUUUCUUUUAGAUACAUUUUUAGGUGCUGUAAGGAAGUUGAAGAAUUACAUAUUAAUGAUCUUCAUAUUUGGAUAUUAUUUGCUAAUUUGUUAUUGGUGCUUGAUGUGAUUAAUUUUGUGCCAAAUUGUUUAUCAGUUUAUAAGUGGAGCACUCGAAGCUUAAUGCUUUUGAAAUUUUAUGUUUUGCUUUGAAAAUGAUUUUCACUGGAGUCAAGCUUUAAAAUAUUAAAGCAUUGUUUUAGCAGGUUUUUAAAUGAAAAUGAAUUUGAUUAUCUUGAAUCCAAUGUUUUAAACUUGCUUAAACAAAAAAACAUGGUAAAACUUGCAUUAGUUUUAAAUUUUCAUAAUGUUAACUGUAAGUUAUAAAGGAUUUUAGAGUUUAAAACAUUAAACUUUGUUUAUUAACAAUUCUGGGCGUAAAAAGCAUUCGCACAAUUAUUGCACGAUUUUAAUUUUUCGUUGUGUUGCAUUACCUAUUUGCUUUUAGAUACAUUUCUAGGUGCUCUAAGGAAGUUAAGGAAUUACAUAGGAAUAAUCUUCAUAUUUGGUUAUUAUUUGUGAAGUUGUUAUUGGUGCUUGAUUUGAUUAAUUAUGUGCUAAAUCGUUUUAGAAGUUUAUAUGGGGAGACUCGAACCCUAAUGCUUUUGAAAUUUUAUGUUUUGCUUUGAAAAUGAUUUUCACUGGUAUAAAGUUUUAAAAUAUGAAAGCAUUGUUUUAGCAGAUUUUUAAAUGAAAAUGAAAUUGAAUAUCUUGAUUCCAAUGUUUUAAACUUACUCAAAAAAAGAAACAUGGUAAAACUUGCACUGGUUUUAAUUUUUCAUACUGUUAAGUGUAAGUUAUAAAGUAUUUUGGAGCUUAAAACAUCAGGCUUUGUUUCUAACCAACUCUGUGCUUAAAAGCCAUUCGCACAAUUAUUGCACGAUUUUAAUUUUUCAUUGCGUUUCAUACUUAUUUGCUUUUAGAUACAAUUUUAGGUGCUUGAGGGAUGUUGAGGAAUUACUUAUGAAUGAUCUUCAUAUUUGGAUAUUAUUUGUGAAGUUGUUAUUGGUGUUUGAUGUGAUUAAUUAUGUGCUAAAUUGUUUUAGCAGUUUAUGAGUGAAGCACUCGAAGCUUAAUACUUUUUAAAUUUUAUGUUUUGCUUUGAAAAUGAUUUUCACUGGUAUAAAGCUUUAAAAUAUGAAAGUAUUGUUUUAGCAGAUUUUUAAAUUGAAAUGAAUUUGAAUAUCUUGAAUCCAAUGUUUUAAACUUGUUCAAACAAAGAAACAUGGUAAAACUUGCAUUGGUUUUAAUUUUCCGAAAUGUUAAGUGUAAGUUAUAAAGGAUUUUGGAGCUUAAAACAUCAGACUUUGUUUAUGAAGAAUGGGCAGAAAAACCAUUUGCACAAUUAUUGCACGAUUUGAAUUUUUCAUUGUGUUUCAUACUUAUUUGCUUUUAGAUACAUUUUUAGGUGCUCUAAGGAUGUUGAGGAAUUACAUAUGAAUAAUCUUUAUAUUUGGAUAUUAUUGUGAGUUGUUAUUGGUGCUUGAUGUGAUUAAUUGUCUGCUAAAUUGUAUUCAGCAGUUUAUAAGGGGAGCACUCGAACCUAAUGCUUUUCGAAAUUUUAUGUUUUGCUUUGAAAAUUAUUUUCACCGGUAUCAAGCUUUAAAAAUACGAAGGCAUUGUUUUAGCAGGUUUUUUAAAUGGUAAUGAUCUUGAAUAUCUUGAAUCCAAUGUUUUAAACUUGCUCAAACAAAGAAACAUGGCAAAACUUGCUUUGGUUUUAAUUUUUCACAGUGUUAAGUGUAUGUUAUAAAGGAUUUUGAGCUUAAACCAUCAUACUUUAUUUCUGAACAAUUAUGGGCUUAAAAACCAUUCUUUCAAUUAUUGCACGAUUUUAAUUUUUUGUUGUGUUUCAUACUUAUUUGCUUUUAGAUACUUUUUUAGGUGCUCUAAGGAUGUUGAGGAAUUACAUAUGAAUGAUUUUCAUAUUUUGAUAUUAUUUGUGAAGUUGUUAUUGGUGCUUGAUGUGAUUAAUUAUAUGCUAAAUUGUUUUAGCAGUUUAUAAGGAGAGCACUCGAACUCUAAUGCUUUUGAAAUUUUAUGUUUUCCUUUAAAAAUGAUUUUCACUGGUAUAAAGCUUGAAAAUAUGAAAGCAUUGUUUUAGCAGAUUUUUAAUUGGAAAUGAAUUUGAAUAUCUUGAAUCCAAUUUUUUAAACUUGUUCAAACAAAGAAACAUGGUAAAACUUGCAUUGGUUUUAAUUUUUCGUAAUGUUAACUGUAAGUUAUAAAGGAUUUUAGAGUUUAAAACAUUAAACUUUGUUUAUGAACAAUUCUGGGCAUAAAAACCAUUCGCACAAUUAUUGCACGAUUUUAAUUUUUCAGUGUGUUUCAUACUUAUUUGCUUUUAGAUACAUUUUUUGGUGCUCUAAGUAUGUUGAGGAAUUACAUAGGAAUAAUCUUCAUAUUUGGUUAUUAUUUGUCGAGUUGUUAUUGUGCUUGAUGUGAUUAAUUGUCUGCUAAAUUGUUUCAGCAGUUUUAUAAGGAGAGCACUCGAAACUAAUGCUUUUGAAAUUUUAUGUUUUGCUUGAAAAUGAUUUUCACCGGUAUCAAGCUUUAAAAUACGAAGGCAUUUGUUUAGCAGGUUUUUAAAUGCAAAUGAUCUUGAAUAUCUUGAAUCCAACGUUUUUAAACUUGCUCAAACAAAGAAACAUGGCAAAACUAACUUGCAUUGGUUUAAUUUUCACAGUGUUAAGCGUAUGUUAUAAAGGAUUUUGGAGCUUAAACCAUUAGACUUUGUUCUGAACAAUUAUGGCUUAAAAGCCAUUCGCACAAUAUAUUGCACGGUUUUUAAUUUUUUCGUUUAUUCAUGCUUAUUUGCUUUUAGAUACACUUUUAGGUGGCUCUAAGGACGCUGAGGAUUACGUAUUAAUGAUCUUUCAUAUUUGGAUAUUAUUUGUGAAGUUGUUAUUAGUUCUUGAUGUGAUUAAUUAUGUGCUAAAUUGUUUUAUAAGUUUAUAUGGGGAGGACUCGAAGCCUAAUGGUUUUGAAAUUUUAUGUUUUGCUUUGAAAAUGAUUUUCACUGGUAUCAAGCUUUAAAAUAUGAAUGCAUUGUUUUACCAGAUUUUUAAAUGGAAAUAAAUUUAAAUAUCUUGAAUCCAAUGUUUUAAACUUCCUCAAACAAAGAAACAUAGUAAAACGUCCAUUGUUUUUAAUUUUUCAAAAUGUUAAGUGCAAGUUAUAAAGGAUUUUGGAGCUCGAAACAUCAAACUUUAUUUAUGAACAAUUUUGGGCAUAAAAGUCUUUCGCACGGUUAUUGCACGAUUUUAAUUUUUCGUUGUGUUUCAUACUUAUUUUCUUUUAGAUACAUUUUUAGGCGCUCUAAGGGAGUUGAGGAAUUACAUAUGAACGAUCUUCAUAUUUGGAUAUUAUUUGUGGAGUUGUUAUUGGUGCCUGAUGUGAUUAAUUGUCUGCUAAAUUGUUUCAGCAGUUUUAUAAGGAGAGCACUCGAAACCUAAUGCUUUUGAAAUUUUAUGUUUUGCUCUGAAAAUGAUUUUCACUGGUAUCAAGCUUUAAAAUACGAAGGCAUUGUUUUAGCAGGUUUUUUAAAUGCAAAUGAUCUCGAAUAUCUUGAAUCCAAUGUUUUAAACUUGCUCAAACAAAGAAACAUGGCAAAACUUGCAUUGGUUUUAAUUUUUCAUAGUGUUAAGCGUAUGUUAUAAAGGAUUUUGGAGCUUAAACCAUUAGACUUUGUUUCUGAACAAUUAUGGGCUUAAAAGCCAUUCGCACAAUUAUUGCACGAUUUUUAUUUUUCGUUGUUAUUCAUGCUUAUUUGCUUUUAGAUACAUUUUUAGGUGCUCUAAGGAUGUUGAGGAAUUACGUAUUAAUGAUC
This 4242-nucleotide long non-coding RNA is filed under the name Durio zibethinus. RNAcentral describes it as "long non-coding RNA (DZIB_LNC001790)". Lineage: Eukaryota; Viridiplantae; Streptophyta; Magnoliopsida; Malvales; Malvaceae. The record is from RNAcentral.